RNAcentral lists this ribosomal RNA (455 nucleotides) under uncultured Sphingobacteriales bacterium. Its description in RNAcentral is "bacterial SSU rRNA". It matches the Rfam family "Bacterial small subunit ribosomal RNA", at positions 927 to 1382 of the family's 1533-position model. The record is from RNAcentral. Lineage: Bacteria; Pseudomonadati; Bacteroidota; Sphingobacteriia; Sphingobacteriales.
AAGCGGAGGAACAUGUGGUUUAAUUCGAUGAUACGCGAGGAACCUUUACCUGGGCUUAAAUGUAGAGUGCAUUUUUUAGAGAUAGAAAUUCCCUUCGGGGCUUUCUGCAAGGUGCUGCAUGGUUGUCGUCAGCUCGUGCCGUGAGGUGUCGGGUUUAAGUCCCAUAACGAGCGCAACCCUUAUCGUUAGUUGCCAGCUGGUAAAGCAGGGGACUCUAGCGAAACUGCCACCGUAAGGUGAGAGGAAGGUGGGAUGACGUCAAAUCAGCACGGCCCUUAUGUCCAGGGCUACACACGUGUUACAAUGGCCGGCACAGAGGGCAGCUACCUGGUGACAGGAUGCUAAUCUCGAAAACCGGUCUCAGUCCGGAUCGCAGUCUGCAACUCGACUGCGUGAAGUUGGAAUCGCUAGUAAUCGUAGAUCAGCAUGCUACGGUGAAUACGUUCCCGGGCCUU